RNAcentral lists this ribosomal RNA (342 nucleotides) under uncultured bacterium. RNAcentral describes it as "bacterial SSU rRNA". It matches the Rfam family "Bacterial small subunit ribosomal RNA", at positions 1 to 334 of the family's 1533-position model. The record is from RNAcentral.
GACGCACUCUCAGAGUUUGAUCCUGGCUCAGGAUGAACGCUAGCGAUAGGCUUAACACAUGCAAGUCGAGGGGUAACAGGCGGUAGCAAUACUGUGCUGACGACCGGCGGAUGGGUGAGUAACGCGUAUGCAAUCUACCUUUUACCCGGGGAUAGCCCAUGGAAACGUGGAUUAAUACCCGAUGCAUUUCUUUUGUGGCCUCAUGAAGGGAAUAAAGAUUUAUCGGUAAGAGAUGAGCAUGCGUUCCAUUAGGAAGUUGGUAAGGUAACGGCUUACCAAUCCGAUGAUGGAUAGGGGUUCUGAGAGGAAGGUCCCCCACACUGGAAUUGAGAAACGGUCCAG